RNAcentral lists this ribosomal RNA (466 nucleotides) under uncultured bacterium. Its description in RNAcentral is "bacterial SSU rRNA". It matches the Rfam family "Bacterial small subunit ribosomal RNA", at positions 29 to 526 of the family's 1533-position model. The record is from RNAcentral.
AACGAACGCUGGCGGCAGGCUUAACACAUGCAAGUCGAGCGCGCCCUUCGGGGUGAGCGGCGAACGGGUGAGUAACGCGUGGGAACGUGCCCCUUUCUUCGGAAUAGCCCUGGGAAACUGGGAGUAAUGCCGGAUACGCCCUUAUGGAGUGAUCCAUGGGGGGAAAGAUUUAUCGGAGAGGGAUCGGCCCGCGUUGGAUUAGGUAGUUGGUGGGGUAAUGGCCUACCAAGCCGACGAUCCAUAGCUGGUUUGAGAGGAUGAUCAGCCACACUGGGACUGAGACACGGCCCAGACUCCUACGGGAGGCAGCAGUGGGGAAUCUUGGACAAUGGGGGCAACCCUGAUCCAGCCAUGCCGCGUGAUCGAUGAAGGCCUUAGGGUUGUAAAGAUCUUUCAGCUGGGAAGAUAAUGACGGUACCAGCAGAAGAAGCCCCGGCUAACUCCGUGCCAGCAGCCGCAGUAACAC